CGUAGAUCACACCAUAUUCUUGAACUCAUGUUCUAUACAAUAUCUUCUUCCACAGUCACCGUCUCUAUUCGGUUCCAGAACCUUCAGCUCCUUAAAUCCUUCACAGAAUCUGCACAGACGAGAGAGAGAGAGAGAGAGAGAGAGAGAGAGGAAUUUGAUCAGAUCCGUUCCACCAUGUUCAAGAAGGCGGUGGAGGCGAAGGCACAGCAGAGAUUGUCCGGCGCAGACAGAAAGAAGCUGAAACGAACAGUCAAAGAGAGGUUUCCCAAUGCUUCGGAUGCCGAUAUUGAUGUCUUGCUGCCUCCUAAGGCAGAGAUUACAGUUGCAAAGUGCCAGAACCGAGCUCUUGUGUAUGGUGUAGAAGGUGGUGUUCCUAUGUUUUUUGAUGUUGAUGGGCGAGGCACAGAAAUAUUUCCAACAGUGUAUGCUCUCUGGAAGGUCCCUGAACUCUUGCCAGCCUUCUUGCUUAAAGGGGGAGAGGUUUCCCGUUUUGUCAUUGGAGGGGCUGAUUUAAUGUUUCCUGGUAUUAGCAUACCUGCUGAAGGUCUACCUACAUUUUCAGCUGGGGAACCAUGGGCAGUAAAGGUCCCUGGCAAUCCUGCUCCUAUUGCGGUCGGUUCUACUACUAUGAGUAAUACGGAAGCAUUAAAAGCUGGCUUGCGUGGAAAGGCUCUGAGAAUAACUCACUAUUAUCAGGACUCACUUUGGGAUUUUGUUGAAGGUUGUUAUGUGCCAAAUGCUGGGUUUUUAGAAGAUGUUGUGUUUGAAGAUCCUUCUCUAUUGGCAUCUUCUCAGGCUUCUGAAUUAUCUGAAGGUGUUGAUGGCACUUCAAGUGAUCAGCUGAAUAGCUUAAACAACAAAUAUGGGGAAUCUGCUGCUGUCGUAGAUGUCAAUUCUGAGCUUAAACUGAACUCAACAGCCCAGAUGGAUGAGAGGAAUGAUACGACUCAAAUUAUCACGAAUGUGGAUGAGAUGAAGUUAACAGAGAAAGCUACUGCAGAUGAAUCAAACAUGGAUGACCAGCAUACUCUUUCUACUGAGGAUGUGGAUGGGCUUCUAGACAAAUGCCUUUUGCAAGCAUUGCAUACAACAGUUAAAGAUAAGGACCUUCCCAUGCCUGGAAGCACAUUAUGGUCAAACCAUGUACUAUCCUGUAGGCCUACAGGCAUCACACUGGAUAUCAAAAAGUCGUCCCACAAGAAAUUGUCAAAGUGGUUGCAAACAAAAUCAUCAGCAGGAUUGAUUUCAGUAAAAGAGGAUAAAUAUAAAAAAGAGAUGGUUUUGCUUGCUGUCAAUCGCAGUCAUGUGGACUACACAUCUUUCCGACCAGAGAAACACCAAGAAAGAAUUGAUAAGAGCAGUGAUUGUGCGGCUAGUGAAGCUCGGUCGCAUAAAAUGCUUGGCGUGGAAGAAAUUUAUAAACCAAGUGUGCAUGUCAAUCCCAUUUUCACAUCGGUUGGAGCUGAUAGAGGGAAAUAUUUUACUGCCUCAGAAGCUACUGAUAUUGUUUUCAGCUAUGUUGAAAAAGAAAAUUUGGUGAAGCCAACAAACAAGUCAAUUGUGGUUUUAGAUGCUACAUUAUGUGAUGCAUUGUUCAAGGGAACAGUUAAGAAAGGAUCAACUUAUCCGACUGAGAUUCAUAAGAAAGAUUUAGGAUCUACAUUCAUAAACCGGAUGCAAGCCCACCACAGAGUGACAAGGGGAAGUGAGUCCAUCGUUCGUAAAGGUGCAUUGAAAACAAUUCAGAUAAUGACAGAACGGAGGCAAGGUAACAAGAAAGUGACAAAACUCGCAGGGUUAGAAUCUUUCUUGAUGGAUGCUGAGGCACUGGCUUCAGAGCUGCAGAAGAAGUUUGCCUGCAGUACAUCAGUGGCAGAACUACCGGGCAAGAAAGGACAUGAAGUUCUGGUUCAAGGUGGUGUGAUUGAUGAUUUGGCAAGACAUUUAGUUGAACAGUAUGGAAUUCCGAAGAGAUACAUUGAAGUUCUUGACAAGACCAAGAAACGAGAACUUUGAAAUGAAUGAUGCAGGAACCCUCGCAUAUUUGACACCGUACCCGAGCGCCGACACGGCUCAUCGCGUCGGGGCGACGACCUACCCCACCCUCGCCCACUUUUCGCUACACCAAAUGGUUCAAGUGCAACGCGUCGCUCGUAGGGGACGCCCUAGCAAAUAUUCGGUAAAAUUCUAGUUCUGUUCAAUUAAUCUCACGGAUGAUUCAUGAAGCGAAGCUGCGCAUUAAAUGCUUGGUGUUGCUAGGAGGGAACUGAAAGUUUCUUAAAUUCAUCAUUCCCUUGAAGUUGGAUUUUAGUCAAAAAGGUUAGCAGCAUGGGCUUCAGCUACGCUUUGUCUUCCUUUCUUCCAGCAUUGUCAGCAGACCAUUUAGCCUCUAUGAAUGAAUCCGGAUAUCGAGAGGAUCGAACCUAGCGCUCCAGAGUAGGGCAUUGAGAGAGAGUGUUGAAAGUAAGUAUGGGAGAAAAUUAUUUUUGUUUAAGGAGAUGUAUCUGUACACCUGGGAUUAAGACAGCAUUUUGGGGAGAGCGACCUAUGUAUAUAUAAGAUAGCACUAGAACUCUGGUAUAUUGUAUUCUGGAUUGAUAUUUAUGAUUCCGCUGCAUGUAUGUAUUUUUUGGUUAUAUAGUUACGGUAUCAGAGGUGAAAAAAAAAUGGUAGUAAUUUUGAGGCGUUACAACCA
Molecule: RNA transcript, 2695 nt
Organism: Malania oleifera
Lineage: Eukaryota; Viridiplantae; Streptophyta; Magnoliopsida; Santalales; Ximeniaceae
Exons: 11
Source: RefSeq, a predicted model, not a curated record